AGGACGAACGCUGGCAGCGUGCUUAACACAUGCAAGUCGAGCGACGCUCCUCCUUCGGGAGGAUGACGGAGCGGCGAACGGGUGAGUAACACGUGGGCAACCUGCCCCUAGCUCUGGGAUAAAGCCCGGGAAACCGGGUCUAAUACCGGAUACGAGACUGAGAGGCAUCUCUUGGUCUGGAAAGUUUUUCGGCUAGGGAUGGGCCCGCGGCCUAUCAGCUUGUUGGUGGGUAAUGGCCUACCAAGGCGACGACGGGUA
This 258-nucleotide ribosomal RNA is filed under the name uncultured bacterium. Its description in RNAcentral is "partial small subunit ribosomal RNA". It matches the Rfam family "Bacterial small subunit ribosomal RNA", at positions 26 to 285 of the family's 1533-position model. The record is from RNAcentral.